This 460-nucleotide ribosomal RNA is filed under the name uncultured bacterium. RNAcentral describes it as "partial 16S ribosomal RNA". It matches the Rfam family "Bacterial small subunit ribosomal RNA", at positions 338 to 795 of the family's 1533-position model. The record is from RNAcentral.
CCUACGGGUGGCAGCAGUGAGGAAUAUUGGACAAUGGACGCAAGUCUGAACCAGCCAUGCCGCGUGCAGGAAGACGGCUCUAUGAGUUGUAAACUGCUUUUGUACGAGGGUAAACGCAGAUACGCGUAUCUGUCUGAAAGUAUCGUACGACUAAGGAUCGGCUAACUCCGUGCCAGCAGCCGCGGUAAUACGGAGGAUUCAAGCGUUAUCCGGAUUUAUUGGGUUUAAAGGGUGCGUAGGCGGUCGGAUAAGUUAGAGGUGAAAGCCCGAGGCUCAACUUCGGAAUUGCCUCGGAUACUGUUCGGCUAGAGAGUAGUUGCGGUAGGCGGAAUGUAUGGUGUAGCGGUGAAAUGCUUAGAGAUCAUACAGAACACCGAUUGCGAAGGCAGCUUACCAAGCUACUUCUGACGUUGAGGCACGAAAGCGUGGGGAGCAAACAGGAUUAGAUACCCCUGUAGUC